RNAcentral lists this ribosomal RNA (253 nucleotides) under uncultured bacterium. RNAcentral describes it as "partial 16S ribosomal RNA". It matches the Rfam family "Bacterial small subunit ribosomal RNA", at positions 524 to 776 of the family's 1533-position model. The record is from RNAcentral.
UACGUAGGGCGCAAGCGUUGUCCGGAAUUAUUGGGCGUAAAGAGCUCGUAGGCGGCCUGUCGCGUCCGCUGUGAAAUCCCGGGGCUUAACCCCGGGCCUGCAGUGGGUACGGGCAGACUAGAGUGCGGUAGGGGAGACUGGAAUUCCUGGUGUAGCGGUGAAAUGCGCAGAUAUCAGGAGGAACACCGGUGGCGAAGGCGGGUCUCUGGGCCGUAACUGACGCUGAGGAGCGAAAGCGUGGGGAGCGAACAGG